This 781-nucleotide ribosomal RNA is filed under the name Streptomyces sp. TGR8. RNAcentral's name for it is "bacterial SSU rRNA". It matches the Rfam family "Bacterial small subunit ribosomal RNA", at positions 75 to 870 of the family's 1533-position model. The record is from RNAcentral. Lineage: Bacteria; Bacillati; Actinomycetota; Actinomycetes; Kitasatosporales; Streptomycetaceae.
GCCCUUCGGGGUGGAUUAGUGGCGAACGGGUGAGUAACACGUGGGCAAUCUGCCCUUCACUCUGGGACAAGCCCUGGAAACGGGGUCUAAUACCGGAUAACACCGGCCUCCGCAUGGAGGCUGGUUGAAAGCUCCGGCGGUGAAGGAUGAGCCCGCGGCCUAUCAGCUUGUUGGUGGGGUAAUGGCCUACCAAGGCGACGACGGGUAGCCGGCCUGAGAGGGCGACCGGCCACACUGGGACUGAGACACGGCCCAGACUCCUACGGGAGGCAGCAGUGGGGAAUAUUGCACAAUGGGCGAAAGCCUGAUGCAGCGACGCCGCGUGAGGGAUGACGGCCUUCGGGUUGUAAACCUCUUUCAGCAGGGAAGAAGCGAAAGUGACGGUACCUGCAGAAGAAGCGCCGGCUAACUACGUGCCAGCAGCCGCGGUAAUACGUAGGGCGCAAGCGUUGUCCGGAAUUAUUGGGCGUAAAGAGCUCGUAGGCGGCUUGUCACGUCGGGUGUGAAAGCCCGGGGCUUAACCCCGGGUCUGCAUCCGAUACGGGCAGGCUAGAGUGUGGUAGGGGAGAUCGGAAUUCCUGGUGUAGCGGUGAAAUGCGCAGAUAUCAGGAGGAACACCGGUGGCGAAGGCGGAUCUCUGGGCCAUUACUGACGCUGAGGAGCGAAAGCGUGGGGAGCGAACAGGAUUAGAUACCCUGGUAGUCCACGCCGUAAACGUUGGGAACUAGGUGUUGGCGACAUUCCACGUCGUCGGUGCCGCAGCUAACGCAUUAAGUUCCCC